CCGGCGACCGGCGCACGGGUGAGUAACACGUAUGCAACCUGGCCGUGACAGAUGGAUAACCGGGAGAAAUCCCGCCUAAUACAACAUAAUGCCGGGAGGGGACAUCCCCUGCCGGUCAAAGGGGGCGACCCCGGUCAUGGAUGGGCAUGCGGCGCAUUAGGUAGUUGGUGGGGCAACGGCCCACCAAGCCGACGAUGCGUAGGGGUUCUGAGAGGAAGGUCCCCCACAUUGGAACUGAGACACGGUCCAAACUCCUACGGAAGGCAGCA
RNAcentral lists this ribosomal RNA (269 nucleotides) under uncultured bacterium. RNAcentral describes it as "partial 16S ribosomal RNA". It matches the Rfam family "Bacterial small subunit ribosomal RNA", at positions 88 to 353 of the family's 1533-position model. The record is from RNAcentral.